GUUAAUAGCCUUUGACUCUGACGUUACCUUUAGAAGAAGCACCGGCUAACUCCGUGCCAGCAGCCGCGGUAAUACGGAGGGUGCGAGCGUUAAUCGGAAUUACUGGGCGUAAAGCGCGCGUAGGCGGUUUGUUAAGUCGGAUGUGAAAGCCCCGGGCUCAACCUGGGAACUGCAUCCGAUACUGGCCGACUUGAGUGCGAGAGAGGGAGGUAGAAUUCCAUGUGUAGCGGUGAAAUGCGUAGAUAUAUGGAGGAAUACCGGUGGCGAAGGCGGCCUCCUGGCUCGACACUGACGCUGAGGUGCGAAAGCGUGGGUAGCAAACAGGAUUAGAUACCCAGGUAGUCCACACCGUAAACGAUGUCUGCUAGCCGUUGGGGAGCUUGAUAUCUUAGUGACGCAGCUAACGCACUAGCUUGACCGCCUGGGGAAGUACGGCCGCAAGGUUAAAACUCAAAUGAAUUG
RNAcentral lists this ribosomal RNA (462 nucleotides) under uncultured bacterium. RNAcentral's name for it is "bacterial SSU rRNA". It matches the Rfam family "Bacterial small subunit ribosomal RNA", at positions 453 to 912 of the family's 1533-position model. The record is from RNAcentral.